ACGAACGCUGGCGGCGUGGCUAAGGCAUGCAAGUCGAACGGUCCUGCUCAACGGGUAACUGAAGGGCAGGAUAGUGGCGAACGGGUGAGGAAUUCAUGGAUAACGUACCCCAGACACAGGGAUAGCGGCGGGGGAAACCCCUUUGCGAAAGUGCCGGUAAUACCUGAUGACCCCGAUGGGUCGCAUGAUCUGUCGGGCAAAGCUCCGACGGUCUGGGAGCGGUUCAUGUCCUAUCAGCUAGUUGGUGAGGUAACGGCCCACCAAGGCAAUGACGGGUAUCGGGCGUGAGAGCGUGGCCCGACACAUCGGAACUGAGACACUGUCCGGACACCUACGGGUGGCUGCAGCAACGAAUAUUCCGCAAUGGACGCAAGUCUGACGGAGCGACGCCGCGUGCAGGAAGAAGUCCCUCGGGAUGUAAACUGCUGUCAGGGGUGAGGAAAUUUGACCAGCCCCAGAGGAAGCACCGGCUAACUCCGU
RNAcentral lists this ribosomal RNA (480 nucleotides) under uncultured bacterium. RNAcentral describes it as "bacterial SSU rRNA". It matches the Rfam family "Bacterial small subunit ribosomal RNA", at positions 29 to 506 of the family's 1533-position model. The record is from RNAcentral.